AAGGGGCAUGGAGAAGAGAAUAUGAUGAGAAAUUUUUGAUCUGGGCAUCCCCUCUCCUUGGGUGUGGUGGCGUGUGAAGUCCUUCCAAGUCUUGAGAUUAGAUCUCAAAGCUCUCCCCUCCUUUCCUUCUGAAGAAGUUCCUUGAGUCUUCAUCCCUCUCUUCUGCAUUGCUUGACGUGUAUGCAAAGUAGAGGAUCUGUGCAUCCAGAUCUCGUAGAGC
Molecule: long non-coding RNA, 220 nt
Filed under: Elaeis guineensis (African oil palm)
Lineage: Eukaryota; Viridiplantae; Streptophyta; Magnoliopsida; Arecales; Arecaceae
Description: long non-coding RNA (EGUI_LNC066676)
Source: RNAcentral